Long non-coding RNA from Balaenoptera acutorostrata (minke whale), 1807 nucleotides. RefSeq lists it as uncharacterized. The record is from RefSeq and is a predicted model, not a curated record. NCBI's taxonomy places the organism in Eukaryota, Metazoa, Chordata, Mammalia, Artiodactyla, Balaenopteridae. The transcript has 3 exons.
ACUUUUAAUGUGGUAUUAACACAUAGAUAACAGGUGCUAUUGGUCAUCAAACAUGUCUCUUCUUUUUGUUAAUGUAUGAUCUAAAGCAAUUCCGUUGUCUAAAAAUGUAAUAGUUAUAAGAGGAGACCUUUAAAAAGUAAGGUUGCAGUUACCAGCUGCCAGCAGACAUUAUUUAGAGAACGGCUGGUGGCAUCCAAGUCUGACACAGCUCAGAAAACUCAAGUUCUUAGCAAUACAGGGACUUGCCUGAAAUCACACCCACAGUGUCUAGUUAUUUUCUUGGAUGUCUAAACCAUAGCUACUCCAUUUUUACUUUUAAUUGUAAUAUUCCCCUUAAUAGCCAAAGCAGUUGUCGCCAUUAAUGAUGUUAGUGUUUCUCUAGGUAUGAGAAGAUGCAAGAAUCUGGGCCCAUAAAAUCUUCUCCUGAAAAUAUCUAUCUAUAUCUAUCUGAAGACCUGUUCUGCCAGUUUUUCCCAGGGCACAGAGUGCCUCAUUCCUGUUCUCCACUCUGAACUCCUUUUCAGGGGGUGUUGAAGGUCAGCAGCUGCAGCAGCUCAUGAUUUAAUCUUUGUAGAGGCAGACAGCAAGUGCCAAUGGCGAGCGCCAAUUUCCAGUCAGCAGGGCUCCUUCGUGGUCAUAAAUUUGACCAUGGAUUGGGGGGCAUUUCAUGACCAUUUCAUUCCACAGUGCUAGGAAUGCUCAUUCCCAGGCCUAGCAAAGUGUUUUCAGAGUUUAAGAAGUUUAAAUCUUAUUCUGUAGAAUAGUAUAGCCAAAAAUUUUAAAACAAUAAAGCAGAAAACAUAACCACCCCACUGGUCCUGUAACGUAAAACCUUUAAUUCUCAGUUCAUAUGCAACAGUAUUAUCUAGGUUCACAGUAAGGACAUUGGUAGAUACUGGUGCCUACCUUGAGAUUGACAUAGCAUUACUAAAAAUCUAAGUUUACACUUUGACCAAAUUCAGGACAUUCACAUUAAUUUGAAAAGCCAAAAAUAAAACAUACUACACAGCAGGCUGCACCUGAUAAUGAAACACUUUAUUCUGCAUCAAGGUAUCUGGAAAAUGAAGCUGCAUUUGGGGCACAUUACAGAUGAGGAAUGAUCCAUAUGUGUGUAUACAAAUAUUGGAUCACCUGAAAAUGUUGUACAUCAGUUAUACCUCAAUUUAAAAAUUUACCAAAAAAGAUGAGUUUAAUUGAAUCACCAAAAAAGAGGACAAGAUGCUCUACUAGACCAAGGAAAAGAAAUCAACAGGAUGUUGUGACACACUGCAGGCCUUAAUACAGCUGUCAGUCUAAUGAAGAUUCCCUUGGGGCUCUGUAAGCAUUCUUGGAACACACAUAUCAGAAGAGGUUUUGCCUUCCCACUGAACUCUUGACGGUGGAUAUUUGUGCAAGAGGCCUAUCCGGCACAGCUUGGCCAAGUCAACUUCUACUGCUAUUCAUCAGCGAAGAACAACCAAAUGGAAAUACUGAAGAAUGAAAUAAUUUUAAGUCAUAAGAACAACGCCUCUCUUUUGAAAGCACUGUACCUCACAGCCUGCUAGGGUGUUAUGCAAUUACCACAUACCAUUUAUUGCAGAGGGACACUUUAAGGCCUCUCUUAUUUUAAUAACUGGACAGAAAUGAAUUAAUGCUGACAUUGCCCAUAAACUGUGCUCAAUGUUAGUAUCAAUUGAUUUUGUCAUUCUGGUCCUUAUAUUAAAACUGGUAUGUUAAUCUGAACCAAUUUUUUAAAGAUAGGAUCUAACUAUUUUAUCUCACUGAGAACAUCCAUGUAAUGUUCUUCCGAAUAAUAAACUUUUUUUUA